UUUUAGAGUAUAUUUCACCACGCUACUCCAAUGUAGGUUAGUGGAUACGCUUGUGGCAUAUUAUCCGACACUUCCGAGCACGAGAUGAAUUAUUAACACUCUUUAUUAUUAUUCUGAAAACUCAAUGUUUAAGACAUUGAGCAAUCUCGAAUCUCUGUAUGACACGAGUUGCAAUGCAAUAUUUUUGGAAGCAAUUAUCCGACGUUUUUCCAGCGAAACAUUUUGGGUAGAGAAAAGGACAUACCGGGAAAACGAAUGAGGCGCUAUGCGCACCUUCUCCCUCCGCAUUUAGUGGGCAUUCCGAUGUUCGGGGUGCACUCGAUGCCUCGGAUAUCAGCGACUCCAUAUACCCCCACUGUUCCUAUGGGGGAAACGCGUAAUGCUCUUUUCCAGAAAAAAAGGACAUACUAACCUAAUACCUCCCCUCUUACACGCGGACAAAGCCACAGGCGGAAACUAGGUUGGAAUAAAUAAAACGAAGUAUUCUUUCUCUUA
Long non-coding RNA from Nymphalis io (European peacock), 495 nucleotides. RefSeq lists it as uncharacterized. The transcript has 2 exons. NCBI's taxonomy places the organism in Eukaryota, Metazoa, Arthropoda, Insecta, Lepidoptera, Nymphalidae. The record is from RefSeq and is a predicted model, not a curated record.